GAUUCAUUUUAUCCAUCAGACGAAUUCCAUUUCGCGAUUCUUAAAUAAUUAUUGAAUUAUUGAGAACUCACACACUUUCUGAGCGGUCGGACGAUGAGCCUGUAGAUCCAAAGCAGGAACUUGAAGAGCGAUGCAAGGCACCAUGUACUCGACCACUUAAAGAAUAUCAGGCAUGUGCUAAAAGGAUUCAAGGUGAUGAAAGUGGGCACAAGCACUGUACU
Molecule: long non-coding RNA, 221 nt
Organism: Olea europaea var. sylvestris
Lineage: Eukaryota; Viridiplantae; Streptophyta; Magnoliopsida; Lamiales; Oleaceae
Exons: 3
Source: RefSeq, a predicted model, not a curated record